This 440-nucleotide unclassified non-coding RNA is filed under the name Hevea brasiliensis (rubber tree). The record is from RNAcentral. Lineage: Eukaryota; Viridiplantae; Streptophyta; Magnoliopsida; Malpighiales; Euphorbiaceae.
CAAUAUUGUGGGAUCUUCCAGGUAGAUAUGCAAAAGCUUCUUAAUUGCCGCUUGUAAAUAAAUACAUGGUAGUCACUUUUAGGGCUGUCCAGUUUUCGGUUUAAACUGAAAAACCAAACCAAACCAAUUUGGUUCAACUGGUUCGGUUUUUCGGUUCAAUCGAUUUUUUUUGGUUCAAUUGGUUUGGUUCGGUUUUAAUUUUUAGGUAACUUCAGGUUUUGGUUUGGUUAAUUCAGUGAAAAAACUGAACUAACCGAACUGACUGAAAUUCCCCUAAACUUCAUGCUUCGUCGUUUCCCAUGUUACAUAAAUAGACCUACUUCUCUCACUCAUUUCACUGUCUCAACACAACCACAACCCUCUCCUCUCACUAAGUCUCUCAACCCAGUGUUGUCAGCCUAUUGCCUCCCUUCACGUCCUCCUCUUCUUCUUCUUCUUCU